RNAcentral lists this long non-coding RNA (2590 nucleotides) under Marmota monax (woodchuck). Lineage: Eukaryota; Metazoa; Chordata; Mammalia; Rodentia; Sciuridae. The record is from RNAcentral.
AUGGUUUUGAGUUCUGGGACUUGAAAUCAUCUUCAUAGGGUGCCCAACCAUUCCAGGUAGCCUGAGACCUAGGGAUUCCCACAAUGUGGGACUUUUUGGGGGAAAAUCCAGGCAAACUAGGGUAGUCAUUAGGUCACUCAAUCUUCACACUAUCCAGAUCUUAUUCUGAUACAUAACACCGAUUAGAGGUACUCAAGAGGGUUCUUUUUGAUAAGCACUAAUGAAUAGGUCAAUUGGUAACUGUAAUGGUAGGCAUAUACCAGACUUUUUCCUUUUCUUCGGAAAAGGCAGCAGCAUAGUUUUAACAAUAACGUGCUCAAAAAAUACCUUAUUUUUGACUAAGUCUUCCAUCAGUUCUAUUCUAGCUGCCCUAUGGGAUUAUGGGGGAAACUCCAAAAUGAGAGGACUGUGGCUUCUCUUGUGGGUCACAGUUACCCAGCAACAAAGUAAAGGCAGUUAUUUAUAAGUGGUAUUAAAGAUAGAAAGUAUAAUGUAUUAUUUUUUUAGAGUUUUGGUUCUUUUCCCAGAAGAGGAAAAUACCACAGGAUGAUAUUUUCAAGCACAAUCAAGGUUUGUGCCUAUCAACCCCAGUUCUAAUUAUAGACAGAGACCACCUAAGAUUAAUUUUCAAGAGUUUCAAGAAGAGAUUUUUCAUGAAACCCAAAAUUUCAUAGUUGGAUGAAGUCUCAAAGAGCAUGUCCAGGGUUUCCAUUUUCAGAUGAAGAAAUUGAGGCCUCAGAAAGGCUUUCUGACUUUCCUAAAGUCUCUCGACUAGGUCUCAGCAGAGCCCUCAACAUAGGAAAGAAUGUCUUUGACAAAUGCACAUUGAUCCUAGGACAAAUAUUCUCAUUCUACAGCCAUCUGAACCCACCUGUCUUCAGCUCAUCUUCAUCUGAUGCUCAUCCACCAAGUCAUUUCUGUUGGGCCCAGAGUGUGGCUCGGUGGUAGAAGCCCUUGCCUGGCAUGGGUGAGGCCUUGGGUUUGAUUCCUAGCACUCCAAGUGGAUUCUGCCAAAAUAUUCUUUAAAUGAAGUGUAUUACGUCCUCAUUCACAUUUUUGUCAUUCCCAUUGCGCAGAUGGAAGCCCCAACUCCAGUAAGCUGCAUAGAAAACUCUCCAUGACUAGGCUUUGAGCGGCCUCCUCAACCUCCUCACUGUUUACUUUUUCUGACAACCAGCCUGCUCUCCAUUCUCUGACUACAACCUGCUUGCUGUUGUGGCUGUGUCUGCAUUGUCUACUUCUGGUGGUUUUCUUUAAUCCUGCUUGUGUUGAACUAUACCUAAUCCUUUGUUUUCCUUUUGCUUAUUCCUCUGUAACAGUACUGGAGGGGAGUAGACCCCUGCAUUCAAAUCUCAGUUCCACAGUUUUAGUUUUGUGACCUUCAGGCAAAUCAUUUAACCAAGGUCUGUGAGCCUUGGUUUUUUUAUCUAUACAAUGGGGCUAAUAACCAUACCUACUUAUGGGGCUAUUGUUUGUUUAAAUGAGACCAAGUGCCAGGUACAGAGUAAGCAUUCAAAUGUUGGUUGCUGCUAUUAUCACUAAAACAUUUUUUUUAACUAGAUUAUAAACUCUAGAAUGCAAGGAAUAUGGCUUUCUCAUGUUCCUGAGAGACCUGGCACAAUGCUUUACCUAUGAAAUUGAAUUAUCAAGAUUAAAUUCAGGGGCUGAGGUUGUUGGUCAAUAGUAGAGUGCUUGCCUAGCAUGUGUUAGGCACUGUGUUCGAUUCUCAGCACCUCAUACAAAUAAAUAAAAAUAAAGUUCCAUUGACAACUAAAGCAAAAAAAAAUAUAUAUAUAUAUAUAUGUAAUAUAAAUUCAGGGAUAGAUUAUAAAGGAAAUUUAUGAAACCAUAUUUCCUGAAAAUUUAAAAGACCCAGUUACCUAUUUGCUAGAAUUAUUUCAGUAAAAUUCUUCCUGAAGGCAGAGGCUGGUCUAGAUCUAGUGUAGUUACUUUAUCAGUGGGUAUGUCCCCAUUUAAUAUGUCAGUUUCAUUGAUCUCAGGAUUUCCUUGUGGACUCAAGAUUCUUACUGAACUCGGCUCUCACAUUGCUGCUGAUACAAACAGGAACAGGAUGAUGCAAGUGUCCUGUUGAUCUUGAGAGAACUCUCUGGAGGCUUCUUCAAGCUUGUGGGUUCUCUGCUGUCUCGAAGCCCUACAUUUGGUAUGUUUUGCAAAGAUUUGGUCUUGCCAAGAUGUUCUUAAUUAUUUCUGCUAAAAGGAAUAGAUUCAAGAGUUUGAUUUCAUUUCGAUGUGGUUUUCUCCAAUUGACCAUUUUAAGGUAUUUUAAUAAAUAUUGCCAGUGAUAUGUGGUCACUAUUAAAUCACUCUCCAUUUGUUAUCUGUCAGGGCAAGUCAGUAAAAUAAAUGCCAUGUACUGACUCUGGCACCCUUUCUCGUGUUUAAAUAUUUAAAACUGUCUAAGACAACUCACAUAUGUUCUUUAAAAAUUAAAACUUUUUCUUUUGUGUUGCUGUGUUUUCUGUGGCCAAUGCAAAUACACUGGAAGAACAACAACAACAAAAAUCUUUUCUUAUCCAUAAUUGCUCUAGGGUAAAAAAAAAAAUGAAUCUACACAUCUAAAAAAGAUUUG